AACGCACCUUGCGCUCCUUGGCAUUCCGAGGAGCAUGCCUGUUUGAGUGUCAUUAAAUCCUCAACUCUCACAUCUUCCUUGUGUCGAUUGGGUGUUGGACGUGGAAGCUGCUGGCUUGUCUCAAGUCGGCUCUUCUGAAAUUGAUUAGCAGGGCACCACGCUGUGCGGCUUGGUAUUGAUAGUUGUCUUACCAGGUAGCAGAUAGCAAGUUGGUCCAGCUUCGAGCCGUCUCUUUGGAGACAACAUUUGACGAUUUGACCUCAAAUCAGGUAGGACUACCCGCUGAACUUAA
RNAcentral lists this unclassified non-coding RNA (292 nucleotides) under uncultured fungus. RNAcentral's name for it is "partial contains 5.8S ribosomal RNA, internal transcribed spacer 2, and large subunit ribosomal RNA". The stretch from base 1 to 52 matches the Rfam family "5.8S ribosomal RNA", at positions 103 to 154 of the family's 154-position model. The record is from RNAcentral. Lineage: Eukaryota; Fungi.